This 265-nucleotide ribosomal RNA is filed under the name uncultured prokaryote. RNAcentral's name for it is "partial 16S ribosomal RNA". It matches the Rfam family "Bacterial small subunit ribosomal RNA", at positions 524 to 788 of the family's 1533-position model. The record is from RNAcentral.
UACGUAGGGGGCGAGCGUUGUCCGGAAUGAUUGGGCGUAAAGGGCGCGUAGGCGGCCUGUCAAGUCAGUAGUGGAAGUCCAUCUUUCAAGGAUGGAAGUGCUACAGAAACUGAUGGGCUUGAGUGCAGGAGAGGUUAUCGGAAUUCCCGGUGUAGCGGUGAAAUGCGUAGAGAUCGGGAGGAACACCAGUGGCGAAGGCGGGUAACUGGACUGCAACUGACGCUGAGGCGCGAAAGUGUGGGGAGCAAACAGGAUUAGAUACCCU